This 470-nucleotide ribosomal RNA is filed under the name uncultured organism. RNAcentral's name for it is "partial 16S ribosomal RNA". It matches the Rfam family "Bacterial small subunit ribosomal RNA", at positions 334 to 796 of the family's 1533-position model. The record is from RNAcentral.
CACUCCUACGGGAGGCAGCAGUGGGGAAUUUUGGACAAUGGGCGAAAGCCUGAUCCAGCCAUGCCGCGUGCAGGAUGAAGGCCUUCGGGUUGUAAACUGCUUUUGUACGGAACGAAACGGCCUUUUCUAAUAAAGAGGGCUAAUGACGGUACCGUAAGAAUAAGCACCGGCUAACUACGUGCCAGCAGCCGCGGUAAUACGUAGGGUGCAAGCGUUAAUCGGAAUUACUGGGCGUAAAGCGUGCGCAGGCGGUUAUGUAAGACAGUUGUGAAAUCCCCGGGCUCAACCUGGGAACUGCAUCUGUGACUGCAUAGCUAGAGUACGGUAGAGGGGGAUGGAAUUCCGCGUGUAGCAGUGAAAUGCGUAGAUAUGCGGAGGAACACCGAUGGCGAAGGCAAUCCCCUGGACCUGUACUGACGCUCAUGCACGAAAGCGUGGGGAGCAAACAGGAUUAGAUACCCUAGUAGUCC